Molecule: long non-coding RNA, 19807 nt
Filed under: Nicotiana benthamiana
Lineage: Eukaryota; Viridiplantae; Streptophyta; Magnoliopsida; Solanales; Solanaceae
Description: long non-coding RNA (NBEN_LNC041705)
Source: RNAcentral
CCCGUUUCAUCUCCUCCCCAAACCCCUCUCAGAGAAGACUUGUAACCCUAGCUGCCGCCCAACAAUUCCCUCGUCGCCACCCCAAACCGCCCCAAAAUUAUACCACAGACCCACCGUGACCUCCUCUCCCCAAAUCUCAAACCAACUUCCCUCGAAUCUAUGUGGAACUCGUCAAAUUUUGAAUCUGAAGCGUGAGUCCUUGAAGCCAAAUCCAAACUCGUUUAUGCAGAGUUAUUGCUCCAGUUAUCAUGAGCUUUUAGGGUUGAUUUUGAUGUUAUUUGGGGAUGAAAUCGGAGUGUCAAGUCCCAGGUUCGAGCUUUAGUCAGUGAGUUUUCCUUCAUUUCUUUGUUCAUCUCUUCUUCUUUUUCUUUGGUGGAUUCAAUUGAAACUCGAUUAAUUUUCUGAUUGAGAGUAGGUAAUGUUCUUGUGUUCUUCAUCAGUUUUAUUUUCUCAAACUUGUUUCUUUGACUUCUUUAGUCCGUUAAACAUGAUUUUUUUAGCACCUCUGUUUAAUUAUUCCAAACUCGCUUAGGGUUAAUUCUGCUUUGUCAAUCUUGUUAUUAUUGGUCUUUGUCUUCUUUUUAAUUCACAAGGGUCAAGGUAAUAGUCAGCCAAGAAGCAAAUUGGUCAUUUUUGUUACUGUCAUUUAGUUUUGUUAGGGCUUGAGUCAGAAGUUGAGUUUUGAAUGUUCAUUUGGAUUGGUCUAGAAUCAGCUGUGGGCUCUUUGAGUCAUUUAUGACCCAGCUCAAAGAUGCUCGGUUGUUAUCAGCCCAGUUUUUGUUUGAUUAGCAAGGUAAAUUCAGGAUCGUUAAUAGGUAGACCACUGUGGGAAUCUUUUGCCAACUAUUUAAGAAGCUUCUGGAAGUUGAAAAUAAACUUGCUUGGCGAGCAAGUCAAAAUUUGAGGGAUUGCUAAAUAAAAAAAAUAAUUCAAAAAGGACUAAAAUGCAAAAUUAAAAUUUUAUUGUUUACCCCAGUUGCUUGCCCAUAAAGGCAUUACUCUAAGCUGAAUUCAGAUUUUGAGGGCUAAAAAUCCAAAAAUAAAAAGGGCGGCUGAAACUUCUCUUAAAAUACUGUUCCAUUGGUUUCUUUGCUGGGUUUUGUUGAAGUUUGAGUCUCUGAAGUAACCUUGAGUCAUUUUGGGGUUAAAAUGAGUUGAAGUUUAGUCAUUUUAAAGCUGGUUUAAGUUUAUAAAGAAAAUACUGUUAUAUUGAGGUUUCUGCUGGGAGUUUUGGAAUUUCUCAUUUUCUGGAUGAUAUUCAGUUCCAUUUGAGUUUUAAAAAUGGAUUUCUGUUGCUGACAAUUUCUGAGCUGUGGUUGUUUAUUGUUGCCUCAUUUCCAUAUUUCUUUUCAUUUUCAGGUACACAUUUCUUAGAUCUACCUAAUGUAAAGCUUGAUUCGAAGUUGAAAUGGAAACCUGGAACAUAAUGUCAAUCUGUUUUUCCUCCUUUUGUUCAUAUUUUAGUUUAAUUUGUUUUAAAUACAGUAUUUGAGUUGUAUGAUGUAUUGCACUUUGCUGGAUGUUUCGUAUUACUAAGAACUACAUGUGGUCUGGGCCUAGUGGGAAUUCAUUUCUCUAUCAAACAUCUCAUGGCUAGAUGUGGGUUGUGACAAAUGAACUCAUACUAUGGUACUUGAUUUUGGACUGUCGAAUUUGAUGGAAAUCUAUUUAAUUUAAUCAUUUGUUAGAGUCUGUGUCAACUAUGUUAGUUAGAUUUUAUAGUAGUGUACUUAGUUUAAAUGGAUUCUUCCCAUAUUGAAAUCACGCAGGUGUCACUGCUGCAGUAGGUGCAGAACUGGUAGUUUGCUGAAAUGUAUUUUUGAUUACAAUAAUUGUCUUCUUAGCACUCAUGGAGCUUGAGAGUUAUUAAGGUGAUUAUAUGCUAUAUAGUAACAUUGUCUUUAUUUGCAAGUGUUGAAAGUAUAGAUGACAUCUAAGAUUAGCAUUAAGAUAGGUAACCAUGCCAAGUUAUGUUUUAGUUUCACAUUCAGAAGAAAAUGACGUUUGUGCUCUCCGAAUUUUGUAUAACUGCUAGGCAAUGGUUUGCUGCGUAUAGGCAAAUUGAUAAGGUUUAAAUAAUUUCUUAUAGGUCCAGUUGAUUGAAGUUCUUUUUUGAAUUCGAAUUAGUAGUGUGCGUUGAUUAAUAUUCAUGAUAGUAUUGGAUGUUGAACAAUCAGAAUAAGUCAAUGUCGUGUGGCUCUUAAGAUCAAAGCAUUAGAAUUGGAACUUGUAAUUAUUACUAUUAGUAAAAUUUAGAAAUUCUUUUGCUUAUUGUUAACUAGUACAACUGGAAUUCUUGAUUGCCUUUGAAUCACUGCUGGAUGCCAUAUAACCGGUUAUAGAUGAGUUAAAACAAUUCCAAAGUUGCUUGCAUAUGUGCUAGUCUCGCUCUUGGGCUCAUUUUGAAUUCAUUGGCAACCUCAAACGAUGUUCAUGCAUGGUGGGGUUUGAUGUUGGGUUUUGACCCAGCAGCUGCAAGGUCCUUAAUUUGGGCUCAUUUUUGAGGCCCCGUUCUGCAUGUUUCCGUGAAUAAAAGCCUGACCACUUCUUUUGGUUAGGAUACCGCUCCUUUGUGUUGGCCCGAGUAUUUUAUGUAAUGAAUUAGUUUUACCUCAUGUGAACCAUCCUAGUUAAUUUAAAGAGAAUCUUCAAUUACAUUUAGUAUUGAUUAAUCAUACUAUUAACUAGCUGAGGCGAGCCAUAUUCAAUAACCAACAUAGUUUAUGGCCCUCAUGAGUUAGUUUACAGACCUUUUAAGUAGAAUAAUUUAAAGUGCGCCAUGCCGACCAAAAAUGACAAUUUCAUGUCCCUCGCUUUAAUUAAUUUUAAACUCAACCUUAGAAUUCGAGGCGUGCCAUUUAGAAAAAUUCCAUGGCCCUCACAAAGCUAAAGCGCGUAGUUGUUUUAGGCACGUACUUUAAUAACAGUACCUUCCUAAAAUCGGGUGUGCAUUUCAUGUGAUCCAAAUCCAAAAAAUCCAAAUCUUAAUGACAUUGAAUAAAAUGUGCUUUGGAUUGCGGGUGAAUUUCAUGUGGCGUGGUCCAAAGACAUAUUUUAGACGAUGUUAAUUCUUCUUUAAAAUGAACAAACGCGGUUGAAAUUAAAAUGCAAUAGUUUCAAAAUGUCCUUAAAAUUAGAUAAUUAUGCCAAUUAUAGCAGUUGAGCGGCCGUGGUAGAAUGACGGAACUCGGGAGUGCCUAACACCUUCCCCCGUGUUAAUAGAAUUCCUUAUCCGGAUUUAUGGUUUGCGGACUGUAAAACAGAGUCAACCCUUUCCUCGAUUGGUGAUGUGAACCGGUGACUUGGGACACCAUAAAUCUCCCAUGUUGCGACUCUGAAUCUUUUAAUAUAAGUAAAUGCCCUUUUGAUUGUCCUUUAAUUAGAAAAACUCCCUUAACUACUCCUUUCAAGGGGUGUAGUGCAAAAAGGAGGUGUGACAGCUUUGGCGACUUCGCUGGGGAUCGAACCCAGAAUAUCUGGUUCAUGAUUCAAGAAUUCGAGCUUAGAAUGAAUUGUUAUAUUUGACUUUAUUUAUUGUCUGGUUUUAUUUAUAUAUUUGGGCAUAAUGUUCUAAAUGUUACUUUUUACCGCUUUGAUAUUGUUUAACUGUAUAUAAACUGCAAUGAAAUCCCUCCUCUCUCUGAGUCUUCUAAAUCAUGAAGAAGUGUGCACUUCAUGUGACUUCUUUUCUAUUAGUGCUAUAUCCCAAAUUUUAGAAUGAGGGUCGGAAAAGUUGCAAAGUCGGCGAAGCUUCUGUAUUAACGGUAUGCUGCCCCCUUGGCUCGAGUUGUCCGCUCGGGUAAGCCAGGUCUAGAACAAUAAAUCCAGGGUUUUAAACCUAGAAUAACUCAACCUCAUGUCAGAUCCCCAGUAGGAAUAUCUGUUUGUAUCAUGUGCAUAUGACUUAGGGGACUCAGCACAAGGGUUGGAUCCGUCUACGACAGAAGUAUCAAGAAUCAAAGACCAUCAUGAUGCAUAUUUUACGUGCUACUUAUGUAUUUAUUUGCUUCGAGUUUGCAUGCUGAACGACUUUUGAAUGAUGGGAGAAAGUUAGAAGAAGGAAAUAGUAGUGUAAGGGUUAAGUGAGUUAAUCACCUGUUUUGAAGAAAAACCAAUGUCCAAAUUAUGCUGAAACUCUGUCGAAUUUUUGAGAAAAAUGAAAAAAAGAAAAACAAAGAAGAAAAGGUUUUGUUUUCAAAAAUACUUGGUUUUGUUUUACUUUCACUAACUACACAGUUUGAUUCUCAUAGGGUGUGAGAUACGUAGGCAACCCCGUCGGGUCAAACUUCUCUUUUUGCAAAUAUAGCCCAAAAGAACAAAAUAUUAUUUUAAAUAAUUAAGGUGAUACCGUUCUUGUCAAAACUAGUCGAAUGUCCCUCAAAAGGGCACCAGAAGGUUGUUUUUGCAAGAACAACCACCUUUAGGCAUUUUUCAAGGUUUUGGCCGGUUAGUCGACACAACCUUAAAAUCUUCAUUUUCGAAGUGCUGAAAGGCCGUAUUGGCAAAGCUGGAUAUUUAUGUGAAAAUUUUGAAAAAAUGGUAAUUUUUCUUAAGUCAAAAUAAGUCAUAGUUUCUUUUAAUUAAAACCACCUUAAUAAAUGUGCAGGAUGAGCACAAAUCAAAAUGAACCUUUUUCAGUCUCUGAAGAGAUUCCUUUGGAUCUACGUAUGUGGUGGCAUGAUUUGGGUGACAAAAGCAUUGGGUGGUCUUUCCGUGCUCUUGAAAGUUAAGCCGAGAUGGACGUAAUUGAGGCACUGAUACCAUUCUAGGACCCAUCACGUAAUGUAUCCACUUUGCUGUCUUUGAGUUAACUCCUACACUGGAAGAGAUAGCAGGCUACACCAGUUUCUAAGGGAAUCUUAGAAAUCAAUACCCGGUAGCACCGAGAAUAGUAACCCUCACAAAUAUUUGGACUUGUUAAGCAUCAAUUGGGACGUCAGAGAUGGAAAUUUGGCCAAGGGAUUCUGUACCUUCUACUUUUUGUACCGAAGUUACGGGAAUCCCCGUGGCUUUGAGAUGCUAGAUACCGGUCUUACUCACGCGGGAAACCAAGACAAGUGGAAAGCUCAGAGAGGAUUGUCUUUUAUAAUGGCGUUCCUGGGUGUUUUGAUUCGUCCAAGAAAAGACGGGAAUAUAGAGUUGGGACUCGUGGGGAUAGCUGACUUUAUGAUGAAAAAGGCAAAUGGGACCAUAGUGCCGAUGAUCUUGGUAGAUUUUUAUCGAGCUAUGACUCUUUGUCGAGAAGGAAGAAAGUUCUUUGAAGGGUGCAAUAUGAUGUUACAACAGUGGAUGGAGGAAUACCUUUGCCAUCGCCCGGGAUAUCUGAAUUGUGGUAUGGCUGGUCUCGAAUGCAUCGAAAAACAUGAAAAGCGGGUAGAUGGUUACGAGUUCCCGGAGGGUAGAAAAGCAUGGCAUGCCCACUUGAGAUCCUUGACUGCCACAAAUAGAAUGGACGUUCGGGUGGCUCUCGGUUGGUGAAGUGAUCUAUAUAUCGGUUGAAGAAUGUUUCUGCUAUUGAUGGUUCUUCGGAGUAUCCAGCCUUAUGUUCCGCACAGAGCCCUUCGUCAGUUAGGACGAUACCAGACCAUCCCCCACGAUGAAGAUUUGAGUCGGCAUGUCACUGAGAUAGAACCAAAAUCUGCCUUUCCAAAAGAAAAAGUGCACCAGAUUUGGCAUCAUUGUAGAUUCUUAGAGCUUAAAACUCAAGUACGAGAUCUAUCUAGAGAUGAGUUGAAGCCUGGUUACCCUACUUGGUAUGGUAAAAGAUCCCGAGUUCAUCAAGAGCCUGAAAGGCCCGCGAAGAAACCCCAUGUCCAACAGUUCACCCACAGAGCAUAGGUAAAGUGGGCCUGGUUGGCCUAGGAAAACGAGUACAAGGCCACAAUAGAAAAGUUGGAAAGGAAAAUUAAAGAUCUUCAAUUCGAGAAUGGUCUGCAAGCCGCGACAGAUGAGGGUGAAAAGAAAAUACUAGCUAAUGAAAAUGAAUCCCUUCAAGUCCAGAUUCAGAAAAUGAAAAUAGUGGUAGAUAAUCCCACCAGAAAUGUAAAAGACGAAAAGCUCAUAGACAACCUGAGACAGAAAGUAGAGGAAUAUAGUUUUGAAUUGAAAAAAUCAGAGGAUGAACAAGCCAGGACCCGAAAGCAAUUGGCCAAAAAUACGAAAGAACAAACAGCAUGAUUGAACAGUUGAAAGAAAAGUACAACAAUGAGGUUGCGGGAUUGAAGAAGAGGUUUAUCACUGUUGAAAACAAAAUGGUUAAGCAGGCAAAGGACUGUAAGGAUGAAAGAGACCACUGUUACACAACAAUGGCACAACUAGAAAGAUAUUUUCACUAAUUUCAAGAACUGAAUCGGGUAGCCGAACAAACUUUGGAAGCCAUGGCCCAACAGAUUGGGCGGUUGUUGCAUGAAAAAGGUGUCAUAAGAGAGAGAGCGUUUGGAGGAUCGCUAAUUACAUCGCGAUAUGUGCAGUAGUUGUGAAUAUAUGACUAGAUCCAUAUUUUUUGCCACCACAAUGACUUUGUCCGUCAUGUAAUUGAAGACCUCCACCACCUCCAAGGGGAUUUAGCAAGCAAGUUUGCGGCGAGAUCGAAUGAUGUCCUGCAGGCCCCAGGAGCACUAGAGGCACUAAUGUAUUCAUUAUUGUCAUUAGAGUUUGUUAGUCUAUUUAUGAAGUUUGUAUUUUCUUUUAUUGAAGUUUGUUAGGGUUUGUUAUUUUUAGAGUUUGUUUUGAGUCGAAGUCUGUCAAUUUCUCUUCUCGGGUUUGUUAGUUUGAUAAUUUGGUGGUUGUAAUCAAAACUGUUCUACUUUAUGAAAAUUUAAAUUCCCAAAAAUAUUUUGUUUCUAUAUUUAUCUUCCAGAACACGCUCGGUCUGAUUCAUGCGGGGUCAGAAUACGUAGGCAAUCUCUAUAGGAUUCGACCAUAACCAAAAAGAAAAAGAAUAAGAAAAUAAGGAAGAGAGAGAAAAGAAAAGAGAGGAAAAAAAAAAGAAACCGUGAGAGGGAACAACGACAAAAUAAUAGAGAAAAUAAUAAAAACAAAGAGGAAGCCGUCAAAAACAAGCUGAAUAAAAGAGAAAAGAACAAGAAAGAAAAAGAAGAGAGAAGUUGUAUAUAAGCUGAAAUAACAAAUGGCUGAAAUGUACCAAGCAUGGGUAAAGGGGCAACCACCACCAGCUUAUCUCACCAACCCUGCCUUCAUCCCACAAUUAGCCCAGUCGCAUGAUCAUCCUGCCACUGAUCGGCCCCUAAGCUUUCCCAUCUACCAACACUACUAGGGCACGACUUCCUAGACACCACCAGCUCUACCACCCAAACCUGUUCCACACCCUCCUCUACCAGUUGCUCCUAUCUUUGUGGCAUCCCCACCCGCGACACUCUACAGAUCUUCCAGCAAACCUUUGUUCCAAACCCGUGAUAGCCAGUAUUACCCCCCCGGAGCCCACUUUUAAAGCUCCGGAACCCUAUUCAUACACUCCUCAUUUUGAUCUCCAUACAGAACCUGAGAAACCAGCCAAAAAUCUCGAGCAAAAGGAGAUGCUUAAGAAAGUCAAAAUAUUAGAGCAAUCAUUUAGAGACAUGCGAGGGCUGGGAGGUCAAGUAAGUGUGGAGUACAAAUAUCUAUGUUUGUUCCUAGAUGUACAAUUGCCGGCAGGAUUUAAGAUGCCCAAGUUUGAUUUAUACGACGGGCAUGGUGAUCCAGUAGCACACUUGAUAGGAUUUUGCAGCAAAAUAAGGGGGGCUGGAGGAAAAGACAAGUUGGUAAUGGCAUAUUUCAGUCAAAGUCUAAGCGGUUCAGUAUUACAAUGGUAUACCCGGCAAGACCACGAAAGGUGGUAUAUGUGGGACGAUUUAGCCUAGGCAUUUUCUUGCCACUUUCAAUACAAUCUUGAAAUUAUUCCAAAUCGUUUGUCCUUGAUGAAACUUGAGAAAAAGCACAAUGAGAGUUUUAGGGAGUACGACUUCCAUUGGAGAGAGCAAGCAGCGAGGGUCGACCUGCCAAUGAAAGAAAGUGAAAUGGUAGAUUACUUUUUGCAGGCCUUGGAGCCUACUUAUUUUUUCACUUGGUAUCGGUGGUAGGCAACUCCUUUAAUGAAGUGGUAAAAAUGGGAAGCUUGGUAGAUGAGGGGCUCAAGUCUAACAAAAUUAUGAGCUAUUCAGCAAUCAAAGCAACCACCUAGGCCAUCCCAAGUGGAACUGGGGGAGUGAUUGGAAAGAAGAACAAAGAGGAGGUAGCAACAAAUGACUCAGGAGCUUGGUUCGGACCCAUGGGUCUAUCACAUCACAACCAGCCUCGACCCCAUCACCAAACCUACCCCCACACUCCAUAUAACCCACCACAAUACUACUAUCCACCCCGAAACCUCGUUUUUUGUCUAUCAUGCACAGACAUAACUCAACCUUUCACCCAUGCACAAUGGCAUACGCCAACCCCACAAAAUACUUACCCAGCUCCACAUAAUGCUUAUCCACCUCCAAGAGACUACCAAAACCCACUGAGACCAAACUUUCGGUCCAACCAAGCCUUUAAGAAUGAGAGAUUGCAGAAGAAGAAGACAUUCACUCCAUUGGGAGAAUCAUAUAACAGCUUAUUCCAUAGGUUGAGACAGUUAGAUAUGUUGAGGAUGAUUGAAGCAAAGUUACCGAAUCCUCCCCCAAGGAAUCUUGAUUAUUUUGUCAGUUGUGAAUAUUGUUCUGGCGCUCCAGGGCAUGACACAGAGAAAUGUUGGCAUCUGAAAAACGCUACCCAAGUUCUCAUUGACUUGCAUCGGAUCGAGGUGCAAGUUCAGGAAGCACCCAAUAUUAACCCGCUGCCCGCCCAUCAAGAAAUGAACAUGAUUGAGAUAGUGCACAAAGAAGGGGAGCCCAAAAAGUCUUCGCAAACUGUCAUGAUGAUCCGAUCCAGUAAGGGGAAGCCAGUUGAAAAACUAACAAGCGAGAUGUCAAUAAUCAAGUUGAGUGGAACAAGUAGUGAGCGUAGUCAAGAAGGGGUCCUCAGCAGAUGGGACAGUGAAACAAGAAUAUGCAAUGGUAGUGGUAUCAGGGGUAGCAAGCAAGCCCAUUGUUGCUGUGGAAGGUGCUCGUAUAGAGCCUGUCAUCAUCAAACCUGUAACUCAGCUACCAAUAAUCAACAACAGGGCCGUCCCUUGGAAUUACGAGCGAGUUAUAGUGACUUACAAAGGGAAAGAGGUCAGAGAAGAAGUCUGCGAAACCCAUGGAUUGACUCGUUCAGGGAGGUGCUUUCCCCCGAGGAGUUGAGAAAGACUAAAACCUCCAAGGACAACCCAAUAUUGGUGAAGAAUGCUGUAAAUAAAGAGGAAGCCAAGAAGUUUUCUGAAAAAGAUGAAAGUGCAAGACUAUUAUAUUGUGGAACAAUUGAGGAAGACGCGUGCUCAUUUUACUGUUGUCAUUGUUAAUUCAUUCGGACGAGCACCGUCAGGAACUGAUGAAGAUCCUGAAUGAGGCCCACGUUCCUGUCAAAAUUUCAAUAAAUCACCUAGAAAAGAUAGCCAAUAAGAUCUUCAAGGUAAAUAGAGUCACCUUUUCGGAUGAUGAAUUGCCCGUAGAGGGUACUGAGCACAAUAGAGCCCUUUAUCUCACGGUGAAGUGUGAAGAUUCUGUGGUUACCCGGGUAUUGGUCGACAUUGGUUCAAGCAUAAAUAUUUGCCCUCUCCCUACUCUGAACAAGCUGAAGGUGGAUGAUGAAAGAUUCACAAGAAUAGUAUUUAUGUACAAGAGUUCGACAGUAGAGGUAAAGAUUCGAUUGGUGACAUAGUACUCGAGAUGAUAAUUGGACCAGUUGAUUUUACCAUGGAAUUCCAAGUAUUAGAUGUGGCUGUAUCUUACAAUCUGCUGUUCGGAUAACCCUGGAUCCAUGCCGCUAAAGCGAUCCCCUCUACUUUACAUCAAAUGAUAAAAUUUAAAUGGGAUAGACAAGAAAUAGUUGUGCAUGGUGAGGACAAUCUGUAUGCUCAUAGUGACGCCAUCGUACCAUUUAUUGAGGCUGAGGAUGACAAGGGGCCUCGAGUAUAUCAGGUUUAUGACACAGUAUCGGUAAAGAAUAUUCCAGAAGGGGAGUGCAUUCUAGUGCCGAAGGUAGCUGCUGCAUUGGUCAUGGUGGCCGUUGAAAUUUUAAUGAAUGGUUUUGUCCCAUGAAAAUAUUUGAGUAUGUUGCUUCAAGAUAUUGUACAAUGGUGUCUAUCCCCAAAAAUAUGGACACCUCUGGUUUGGGAUUCAAGCCUACAAUUGCAGACAUAAAGAGAUUCAGAAGGAGGAAGCAGAAAGCAUGGGUCCUUCUAAAGCCUGUGCCGCGUCUCUUCAGAUCAUUUGCUAGGCCCGACACCAAGAAGUGUCGGACAACAACAAGUUCCAGUUCUAUGGUUGGUCCUGAUAAGGAAUUGCUUGAAAGGUUUGAGAAGUUGUUUGAAGAUGUAAAUAUGGUGGAAGUUGGAGAGGGUUCUAGGAAAGCGGAUGUGCAAUUUGUAAGGCCAAUCCAAGAUCAACAAUUGGGAAGCUACUCCUCCCCCCGAACAGGAAGGAGUUUUGGUAGUUUACUUUUAUAUUCUUUCAGUUUAUCUGGAUUAUUCCAGGGUUGUAAUUCAGAUUCUAUGCUCCAUCCGCUUUGAUGUAUAAACCUUGUUAUCUUUCAAUUUCAAUGAAAUGCAAUUCCCCUUUCCAUCAGUUUUGAUAGUUUUUUUUUCUUUGCUUUUCUUUUCCUUCUUGUACAGUUCUUUUUGUGCUAGUUUCAAUGACAUGACAUGCAUAAGGAAUCGUCGGCCCAAUCUUGAGAACCAUAGAAGCUGGAGAGGGCUCUUGCAAGGCUGAUGUGCAAUUUGUUAGGCCCUGUGCAAAGAUCAACAAUAGAGAAGCUACUCCUCUCCCGACCAGGAGGGAGUUUUGGUAGUUUGCUUUGAUUUUCUUUCAAUAUAUCUGAUUACUCAAGGGUUGUAAUUCAGAUUGUAUAUUCCGUCUGUUUGGAUGUAUAAACCUUGUUAUAUUUCAAUGUCAAUGAAAUGUAAUUUCCCUUUUCAUCAUUUCCGAUAGUUUUUAUUUUCUUUGCUUUUCUUUUCCUUCUUAUAUAGUUCUUUUUAUGCAGGUUUCAAUGACGCGAUAUGCAUAAGGAAUCGUCGGCCUAGUUUUGAAAGCCAAUCUAAUUCAGAAAUAAUAAUUCAAAAGAUAGAAUGUGAUGAUGAGUCAGAGUACGAUGCAGAUAGAGCUUUUGAAGAAAUAAGUAAAGAAUUAAGCCACUUUGAGGAAAAACCCAAGCAAAACCUGAGCGAUACAGAAGCAAUCAAUCUAGGGGACCUAGAUAACAUCAGAGAAACUAAAAUAAAUGUCCAUCUUGAGCCGCAUUUUAGGGAAGAGAUAAUCAAAACAUUGCUUGAAUACAAAGAUAUUUUUGCAUGGUCUUAUGACGACAUGCCAGGUCUAAGCACGGACUUGGUGGUCCACAAAUUGCCACUGACCCGGCAUGACCUCCCGUCAAACAGAAGUUAAGGAAAUUUAAAACUGACAUGAGAGUAAAGAUCAAAGAGGAAGUCACAAAGCAGUUUGAGGCAAAGGAUAUCCGAGUCACACGGUAUCCCACCUGGUUUGCCAAUGUUGUGCCUGUGCCAAAAAAAUAUGGUAAGACCAGUGUGUUUGUCGAUUAUCGUGAUCUCAACAAGGAGAGUCCAAAGGACAACUUCCUACUGCCGAACAUCCAUAUAUUGAUUGAUAAUUGUGCAAAACACGAGAUUGGUUCUUUUGUGGAUUAUUACGCAGGCUAUCACCAGAUCUUGAUAGAUGAGGAAGAUACAGAAAAGACGGCAUCCUCGGGGAACAUACUGCUACAAGGUCAUGCCUUUCGGUCUGGAAAAUGCGAAGGCAACUUACAUGUGGGCAAUGGCAACCAUUUUCCAUGACAUGAUGCACAAGGAGAUCGAGGUCUAUGUGGGUGAUGUAAUUAUAAAGUCCAGGAAGUAGUCUGACCACGUCAGAGAUCUGAGAAAAUUCUUCCAAAGACUCCGUAGGUAUAGUCUCAAGCUCAAUCUUAUAAAAUGCGCAUUCGAUGCACCUUUUGGAAAGCUGUUGGGAUUCAUAGUCAGCCUCGAGGUAUUGAGCUAGACCCAUCAAAGAUUAAAGCUAUUCAAGAAUUACCACCUUCGAAGAACAAAACUGAGGUGAUGAGUCUGUUGGGGAGAUUGAAUUACAUCAGCAGGUUUAUUGCUCAGCUCAUGACAGCUUGUGAGCCUAUCUUUAAGUUGUUGAAAAAGGAUGCUGCGGUCAAAUGGACGAAGGAAUGUCAGGAGGCAUUUGAUAAGAUAAAGGGGUGCUUUUUUAAACCACCUGUGUUGGUCCCACCAGAACUAGGGAGGCCUUUGAUUCUGUAUCUAAGGGUGUUGGAAAAUUCAUUCGGAUGUGUAAUGGGUCAGCACGUUAUCACUGGCAGGAAGGAGUAGGCCAUCUAUUACCUCAACAAGAAGUUCACAUCUUACGAGGUUAAGUAUACUUAUCCUGAGAGGACAUGUUGCACCCUAACUUGGUAGUGCAGAAGUUGAAACAUUAUUUGUCAUCUUAUACUUCUUGCCUCGUUUCUCGCUUAGAUCCGUUGAAGUACAUCUUCAGAAGCCUAUGCCCACAGAGAGGCUUGAAAAGUGGUAGAUUCUGCUCAUAGAAUUCAACAUCAUCUAUGUGACUCAGACUGUGAUGAAAGUACAGGCAUUGGCUGACCAUUUAGCUGAGAACCCGGUGGAUGAAGAAUAUGAACCUCUAAAGACAUACAUCCCAGAUGAGGAGGUGAUGCAUAUUGAUGAAUAAGAACAUGUCGAAAAACUAGGAUGAAAACUUUUCUUUGAUAGGGCUGCCUAUAUGAAAGACAUUAGGAUAGGAGCAGUACUUAUUUAUGAAAUAGGGCAUCACUACCCCGUUACAGCUUAGCUUAGUUUCUAUUGCACUAACAAUAUGGCAAUGUCAUGCAUUUUGGGUCUGAGGUUAGCUACAUAUAUGGAUGUCUAGGAAGUCUUAGUUUUGGGGGACUCAGACCUUUUGGUACACCGAAAUCAAGGGGAAUGAGAAACACGAGAUUUGAAGCUCAUACCGUACCGACAAUGUCUGCAUGAUCUUUGUCAACUAUUUCAAUCAGUAGAGUUCAGGCAUAUUCCAAGAAUCUACAACGAGGUUUCUGAUGCUUUGGCUACAUUGGGGUCAAUGUUACAUCAUCCAUAUAAGGCUUAUGUUGACCCGCUACACAUCCAAGUCCAUGAUCAACAUGCUUACUGUAUGUGGUGGAAGAGGAACUUGAUGGUGAACCUUCAUUUCAUGAUAUCAAAGAAUAUAUCAGGAUGGGGGUGUAUUUAGUACAAGCCACAAGUGAUAAAAAAAAACAAUUCAUUGCUUAUCAAGCGGAAUUUUCUUUAGUGGAGGGGUAUUGUACAAAAGAACGGUAGAGUUUCUGGACCGCAUAUGAGUGGAUAUGUUUUGGCAAAGAAGAUUCUCUGAGCAGGUUAUUAUUGGCUCACCAUAGAGCGAGAUUGUAUUAGUUUCAUGCACAAAUGUCAUCAGUGUCAGGGGCACAUAGAUUUGAUUCAUUCCUUACCAUCUGAAUUACAUACAAUGUCUGCACCAUGGCCCAUCGUUUAUUGGGGCAUGGAUGUCAUUGGGUCCAUCGAGCCAGCAACAUCCAAUGGGCACAGUUUCAUUCCGGUGGCCAUUGAUUAUUUCACUAAGUGGGUUGAAGCUAAAACUUUCAAGUCUGUGACUAUGAAAGCCGUGGUCAAUUUUGUGCUCCGGUUUGGGAUAUAAAAUGUAAUCAUCACGGAUAACGGGGCAAAUCUCGAUAGUCAUUUGAUGAAAGAGGUAUGUCAGUAGUUUAAGAUUACACAUCGCAAUUCCACCCCAUAUCGCCCUAAGGAAAAUGGAGUUGUCGAGGCAACCAACAAAGACAUAAGGAAGAUACUUUGAAAAAUGGUAGAGGUCUCCAGGCAAUGCCAUGCGAAGCUACCCUUCGCAUUGUUGGGUUAUCGCACUACUGCUUGCACUUUGGUAGGGGAAACUACAUAUUUGUUGGUUAAUGGCACAGAAGCGGUGAUACCAGCAGUUAUUAAAAUCUCAUCCCUUCGGAUUGUCGCUGAGUCAAAAUUGAUGAUAACGAGUGGGUCAAAACCCGCCUGGAGCAAUUGAGUUUGAUUGACGUGAAAAGAUUAGCAGCAGUGUGUCAUGGCCAGUUGUAUCAAUGGAGAAUGGCCAGGGCAUAUAACAAGAAGGUGCACCCACGGAGGUUUGAAGUGGGUCAAUUGGUAUUGAAACGUAUCCUCCCUCAUCAGGCAGAGGAAAAAGACAAGUUCUCCCCAAAUUGGCAGGGGGCGUUCAUCGUGACGAGAGUGUUGUCCAAUAGGGCUUUGUAUUUAACAGAUGUAGAAGGCAAAUGUGUAGAAAUGGACAUCAAUUCCGAUGAGGUUAAGAGAUACUAUGUAUGAUUUUCUUUGGUUAAAUUAUAUUUAUUUGUACUUGGAAUUUUUUGGAGAUUGGAAUGACGAAGGCAUUUUGUUCACCUAGCUAAACACUUUAUCCUUUGUUACCCUUUUUGAGCCUUAUUUGUUUUCUUUCAUACCCCUCUUUCGUAAUCAGUAGCAAAAUCAGAAGCGCAAGCGUGAAAGAUAAGUAAAGGAAAGAGAAAAGAAAAUAAUAAGAAGAAAAAAAAGGAUAAAAGAAAAAAAAGAGAAGAAAAGAAAAAAAGGACAACAGAAGAAGAAAAAAACAACAAAACAACAAAAAGAAAAAGAAGAAAGAAAAGAAAAGAAUAGAGAGAGAGAGAGAGAGGAAGAAAAAAAAGAAGAAAAAUCACAACAACAAUGUAAUUUUUUAUGACAUGAACUACGUUCGAGCUGAUUCCUUUUAAGGACACGUAGGCAGCCUCAUUGUUCGGUCCCAAUAAAAUAAAAUUCAAAGGUCCCCAAGCAAGAAACUGGGACAGAAGUUGUGGAAGUUUGAUUCCAGAGGUUGUAAUUUUGAACCCAUUUGAAUUGUUUUGAGCCCUUGAAACCCUUUAUUUCUAACCCCGUCCAAAAGCCCACAUUACAAUCCAAAGAAAUACCUUCUGAUCAGUCGUCAAAAGAUGCCAAGUCAAGCAAAUAGAGAUGAUUCAUGUCAGGGGCAACACUCUGGUCCAAACAAGGAAAAUGAAAAUGAGUGAGUCUUAUUGGUGAAAACCCUCAAACACCGUAAGGAGACGAGAGUUGAGAGAAAUCAAAAUGAGAGUCUUAUUGGUGAAAACCCUCAUGGGCACCGUAAGGCGACGGGAGUUGAGAGAAAUGAAAAAUGAGAGAGUCUUAUUGGUGAAAACCCUCACGGGCACCUUAAGGAGAAAGAGAGUUGAGAGAUGAACAAAUGAAAGAGGUCUGCUGGUGGAAACCUUUUAGGGCACAGCAGGAUGAACAAGUUCAAGGUUUGGUUGAAGAAAUUGGGUUACGAAAUUUUGGGGCAACAAAGCAUAGCGAUUGAGAGUUGAUUGGUUGGACAGACUGGGCCGACUAAUCCGAAAUGUAUGGCAUGAACAUUGGUACCAGCUGUUCCACGCAGGUAACUCUCUUUUCCUUUUCCCUUUUAGCAGUCAUCCAGUCUUGGAUUCUUCUUAUCCUUAACGCUCAAAGUCAUUGCAUUUCAUGUUCUUUUGGUUUCUAUUUCUCUAAGAUGUUUCAAGGUCAAUUUUGUUUGAGCAAGUAAGAAAGAAUUUCAAAGAUUAGUACCAGCUCCCAAAAGUGCAAAGCACAGUGUGUCCAGAAUAUUACCAAAGACAGCAUGAUGUAAAGCAGGAUAUAAAGAAUUGCCGGAAGCUUCAUCGGUGGAAUGAUUUGGUAAUCUCAAGAUAAAUGCAAAGAUUCUAAUAGAGGGUAAGGGAUAUAAUAAACAGUCUGGAACACUCGGUUCAUCUAAGGUCGUGAGGUUUGAAAGCCAGUCAGGAAAUUAGGAGGUUCAGGGCUAGUUCGGAGAAGCUAGUCAAAACAAAGCAUGACAGCAGAGAGGCCACCUUCAACUAGAAUGCCACAAACUAACCACCAUGUUUCAAAUUGACAAGAUUUUUCUUUGAUUGAAACAUGGGCAAAAAUUUCUGGUUGUCUCGAGGAAACCCUUCGCAAGGGAAAAAGCAAGCACCAGACAGGUAUGGCCGUAAAUUUUCAGGACCUUCCUGGAAAAUGGAACCUAGUUAAAGUUCAAAAUAAUCAUGAAUAGCCAAAAGAAUAUAAGUCGGUUUCAAAAUUUUGGUUCUGGAGAUGGAAUUCAGUUAGAAGUUGUCAGGACCCUCAUGGAAAAUGGGACCUAGUUUUAAAAAAUGAGCAGCAAAACAUAGCAUAAAUGUAUCCCAGAGGAAUAUAAGUUGGCUUCAAGUUUUAAUUUUAUGAUAAAAUUCAAUUCGAAGUUUUCAGGACCUUCCUGAAUAAUGGGACUUAGCUUUAUGAUUUCAAAUAGAUAAGAAUAUCUAGUAUAAGUUCUGCUGUAGGGUAGUAUAAUUCAGCUGUAAGGAAUUGUCACUCUUAGAAUGAAAUUUGACUUUGAAUUGUCAGGACCCUCAUGGAUAAUGGGACGUAGCUUUAAUAUUUUCUGAGAUAACAAGAUGUAGUGAAAGUCUGACCUUUAGAAGAUAUAGUUUAGUGUUAAAAUUGUCGUUAGUUAAGAGUUGUCAAGUACCUCCUGGAUAAUGGGACGUAACCUUAAUACUUUUCUAGAUAACAAGAUAUAGUGGAAGUAAUACCUUUAGAAGACCUAACGUAUAUUUAAAAUUGUCAUUUAAUUAAGAGUUGUCAGGACCCUCCUGGAUAAUGGGUGGUAGUUUUAAGACCCUCUUAGAUAACUAGACUUAGUGGAAGUCAUACCUUUAGAAAACAUAAUUCAGCUUUUUAGACUGUCAUUUAACUAAGAGUUGUCAGUACCCUCCUGGAUGAUGAGAUCUAUCUUUCAAAUUCUUAGUGAUAUUUGGUAACAUGAUUUAAUUAACACUCACAGAUGUGCCCAACCACCAAACCGGGGUAGAAAAUUUUCUUUGUGUUGUCUAUUUUUGUUGAAAUCGGGCACCCAGCUGGAGAACAAGGGGAUACAAUUCAAGUUUCGGCCAUCAGGAGCCUACUUGGAGAAUAAGUGAAUACAAUUCAAGUUUUGGCAAUCCGGCACCCACCUGGAGAACAAGGGAAUAUAAUUCAAGUUUGACAAUCAGGCAUCCACUUGGAGAACAAGGGAAUUAGUUCAAGUUUGGUAAUCAGGCACCCACAUGGAGAACAACGGAAUAUUAAGUUUGGUAAUCAGGCAUCCACCUGGAGAACAAGGGAAUAUAAUUCAAGUUUUGGUAAUCAGGCACCCACCUAGAGAACAAGGGAAUACAGUUCAACUUUUUGGCAAUCAGACGCCCACCUGCAGAACAAGAGAAUACAAUAAAAGUUUUGGCAAUCAGACGCCUACCUGGAGAACAAGGGAAUACAUUUCAAGUUUUUGGCAAUCAGUAACCCACCUGGAGAACAAGGGAAUACAGUUAAAGUUUUUGGAUAUCAGGUGCCCACCCGGAGAACAAGGGAAUACAGUUGAAGUUUUUGGCAAUCAGGCGCCCACCUGGAGAACAAGAGAAUAUAGUUAGAAGUUUUUAGCAAUCAGGCGCCCACAUGGAGAAAAAGGGAAUACAAUUCAAGUUUUUGCUAAUCAGGCGCCCAUAUGGAGAACAAGGGAAUACAGUUCAAGUUUUGGGAAUCAGGCACCCACCUGGAGAACAAGUGAAUAUAGUUAAAGUUUUGGCAAUUAAGCGCCCACCUGGAGAACAAGGGAAUACAAUUUAAGUUUUUGGAAAUCAGGCGCCCACCUGGAUAACAAGGCAAUAUGAUUCAAGUUUUGGUAAUCAGGUGCCCACUUGGAUAAUGAGGGAAUAAAAUUUAAGUUUUGGUAAUCAGGCGCCUACCUAGAGAACAAGGGAACACAGUUCAAGUUUUGGCAAUAAGGCGCCCAUCUCGAGAACAAAGGAAUACAAUUCAUGUUUUUAGUAAUCAGGCACUCACCUGGAUAAUGAGGGAAUAUGAUUCAUGUUUUGGUAAUAGGGUGACCACCUGGAUAACGAGGGAAUACAAUUCAAGUUUUGGUAAUCAGGCGCCCACCUGGAGAACAAGGAAACACAGUUCAAGUUUUGGCAAUCAGGCGCCCACCUAGAGAAAAUGGGAAAACUAUUUAAAUUUCAAGGAAAAAUAGUUCAAGUUCAGCCAUCAGGCGCCCAUAUGAAGAACAAGGGAAAGCAGUUCAAUGUUCAAGUAAAAACAGUUCAAGUAUAGCAAUCAUGCACCUACCUGGAGAACAAGGAAAGACAGUCCAAGUUUCGAAAAAAUAUAGUUCAAGUCUAGUAAUCAGGCAUCCACCUGGAGAAAAGGAAAAGCAUUUUAGAUUACAAUUCAAGUCGGCAACAAAGGAACUUCACCUGGAGAAUACAAGUCCGCAUGGCAACAAGAAUCACAAGAUCAAGUUUGAAGAUAUAGAUAGGCUUUUGUAAUUCAUAGAUCAUAGUUUACUCUAGCUUCUUUUAUUUUUAUCAUGAUGUAAUAAGGAGCUUAGUAAGCAGUAGCAGCAGCAGCGACAGUGAAAUCAGAGCUUCAUGGUAGUCCCAGCUACCAGCAUUCCCAAACUACACUGACCUGAUUCCUUUUUAUCCAAGGUUAUGCAGGCAACCUCGAACGCAAGGUGCAGUCAAAUCUUUAAAAAAUGCUUCCCAUGGAGUAUUCAAAUGGUAACAACCGCUCGUAAACACUCACUUUAUGUUUGCACGAAAACUCUUCAUAUUUCCGAGCAAAGAGGGGCAGCUGUGAGCACGUGAUUUUUGCCCUAUAUGAGUUACUCUCAUAAAUUCAGAACAAAAAGAGCUUUCCGUGGUUUGCAAUUUUUGCGAAGUUUUUGUGGCAUUUUAUGUUAAUUAUUUUCACUUGUCUAUGCAUUUUAAUUAAAUGAAAAUACAAAAUGAAUGCAUUUGUAUUUAGAAUUUAGUUUAGAAUUAUAGGAUUAAUUUGAAAUUAAGUUAUUUUAUAAAAGGGAAAAAAUCACAGAAAUAGUUUAAUUUGCACCUUUUGAUUUUAGCUUUGAUUCUGCGUAGUUUUUCUUUUAGUUUGUUUUUAAUUAAUUGUGAUAAUUUUUAGCUAGGCUUAAUUAGUAUUUUUUCAGGUUAAUUUAGUUUUAGGAUUUAACUUUGGUUUUUAGUUUAAUUUUAAAAAAAAGGGAAGAUAAGGAAUAAAAAUAAAAAUAAGAGAAAUUGAAUUAAUUGGUUUUUUAGAUUUUGGAUGGUUUUAAUAAAUUACCCAAGCCCAAUGUCUCCCCUCUCAAAAACACAAUCGGACCCAGCCUAGUCUAACCUGUUACCCAGUCCAACCCCCGUCCCCUGCCAAGCGACACUGUUUAGUCAAGUUAGAUCUGAGCCGUCGAUGAUCUUUGAUACAACGGCUCUAAUACUUGGGGUCAUUUAGUAUACUAAUGUCCUAACCUAUCACCCCUCGUUUCAUCUCCUCCCCAAACCCCUCUCAGAGACGCCUUGUAACCCUAGCCGCCGCCCAAAAAUUCCCUCGGCGCCACUCCAAACCGCCCAAAAACUAUACUACAGACCCACCUUGACCUCCUCUCCCCAAAUCUCAAACCAACUUCCCUCGAAUCUAUGUGGAACUCGUCAAAUUUUGAAUCUGAAGCGUGAGUCCUUGAAGCCAAAUCCAAACUCGUUUAUGCAGAGUUAUUGCUCCAGUUAUCAUGAGCUUUUAGGGUUGAUUUUGAUGUUAUUUGGGGAUGAAAUCGGAGUGUCAAGUCCCAGGUUCGAGCUUUAGUCA